CUGUUUUCCAUCUUGUGCACUAAAACUCACACAUGAGGAAGUGGUUGGCUGCACAAACUCUUUUGUCAUACUGACAGACAUUUCGAGGGGCAAAACUGUGUAUAAGAUGAGUUUGUCACGCAGGACUCUUGAUUCUCUGCUCUCAUUGCUAGAGAGUGAUUCACUUCACACUGAAUGAGAUUACUCCUAAAAUUGAGGACGUUAAAUGUAAAUGUACGUUCCAAAUUGGAGACAGGCCCGACAAUCAGAUGACAGUGAAGACACAGACAAGGAUUAAAGAAUAGUGACAUUCUUCAGGAAAACUGGACACAGCAAAGCUCUCCUUGUGACGACUGACGGCAUGAACUAGAAACCCAGCUAACUGCUCCUCCAGAAGCUCCACGACAGCUUUGGCAUCUCCCUUCCUCGCAGGACCUUCCAUCAUCUGUUUUAUGCUCUCAUUGGGCACAGGCUGAGGGGCGCUGCAGAACGAGACCACCAGGUUUACGUCAUUUCCUUGAGACACUUCAAAAUAACUCUGUCCGGCCACACACUGAAAGUUUUGUCCAGCUCUCAAGGUUCUAAUUUUGCCCAAGUUACUAAUGACUCUGAUGGACCAGCUCACCCAGUCGUACUUCUUCACCAGGAAGUCCAGCAGUUCCUUGGCCAUUUCCUGGAGGUUCCCAUCCUCUCUUUCCUUUACAAGCCUCUUGAUGUCCAGUUCAGCUUGCUCUGGAAAUGACUGUACGCAUUUCUCUAUCGUUUCCUUCAUUUUCAUCUCAAUUUCUUGGAUUUUCGCGCUCCAAUCUUGAAUCUUCUCUUGCUCAGCCUCUUCGCCCUGAGUAAGGAAACAAUAUCCUAGCAGAGCGAUUAUUCCCAGGCAGAGCAGCUCCUUCAGCCUGACGCAGAAGUCUUCCAGGACCCGUCUGUUUCUGGCCUCGUAUUGUUCCACAACAUCCAGGAUUGGCUCCCCAAAAGUGCUGUUCCCCAUCACAGCAUCAUAAAGCAUGUAGAGGUUCUUCUCUCCUCCUGUUUUGGGAAAAUGCUGCAAGAAUAAGCGUUUUCUCACCUCUUUGUACUCCGGUUUGGCCUCCAGAAUGUCAAUGUAUUUUCUAAACUGGUUGCAUAUAUUUUCCUCCACUGUAAAGAACUGAGAAUCCAAGCGUCCCUUUUUAAUCUCGCAGUUGAUGUCUUCUAUUUGCGAUGAGAGGACAUCCAAUUUGCUCCUCACAACUAGAAAUUGAUCUUUGACGUAUGUGAUCUCCUUGCUCUCCACAUUGUCCAAGACCAGCCUCAAAACUGGUGCAGAAGCUUCAAACAGAGGACACAUCUGUCCAACAGCGCUGGCCAGCACCUCGGCUCCUCUCUCAAACAUCUCCAUUACUGCUUCAAUCGCCUCCUUCUUCUGGGCUACAACCCUCUCUAGUGGAUUGGACAUUUCUAAAAACAAACAAAAAGCAAUUACAAAAAAGAUGCCUUUCUUUCUUUUACUAAGCUAGAUACAACAUUUCUUUACACAGUGUUGCAUAAUGUAAAAGCGGUUGCAAACAUUUUAAUUGAUCAGAGGUUGUUCUUUCAUAGCUAAGAACAGGUUGUUUGUGUGUGUCCCUUUAAAUGCAAAUGAGCUGCUGCUCUCUACCGCUUUCCAGAAGAGGGCGGAGCUUUAACAACUCGCGCUUUGGUUGCUCAACAACAACAAAGCUGGAGAAUCUCGAGCAGCCAAAAUGACGAUUGUCAGUAAUGGCGUUCAAACCGGAGUCGGACACUUAUGGAGAGUGUCCGAAAUAGUCGUUUUUUUUUUUUUGUUUGUUUUUUUUUUGCUGCACACACAAACGGUAUUCUUGUCGCUUCAUAACAUUAAGGUCAUGUGGACUAUUUUAACGAUGCCUUUGCUACUUUUCUGGACUUUGAAUGUGGUACUUACCUUGCUUUUUCAUGGGGGAUCAGAAACCUCUCGGAUUUCAUCAAAAAUAUGUUAAUUUGAGUUCCGAAGAUAAACAAAAGUCUUACGGGUUUGGAACAACAUGAGAGUGAGUAAAUAAUGUCAAAAUAUAAACAGAAAAAGCGAAGCAAAGUCACUCAUUCUUCUGGGAGAAGACUCAUAAAUGAAUAUUAGAAAAGCUGUCGUACUUCAGACAAUACAGCCAAAUAUAUGGGAGUGACAAAAAAAGCUGAAGUGCAUUUGUUCAGCUUUAUCAUAAUGAUGUUUUAUAUAAUUAUACAAUAUUUUCUUCUCAUAAAUCAUCUUUUUAAAAUCUAAAUGAGUACAAGUGUUUUACAUCACAGCCAAAAGCAUAAAGUAUGCAUGAAAGCCUUAUCACGUUGCUAAUCUUACAAGGAUAGCUAAUUGUGCCAUCAGCAUUUUUUUUUCUAUUUUAAAUCUGCAUGCAUGUUAAUAAGCAAAUCAUGUAAAAUCAAGUCCAGACCCAUUUUAAACCUCUAAAUAAUCACAUUCAGAGCAAAAAUUGCGACUUGCGCUUAAGAAUCAUGUUGCGUAUAUGGCACCACUGAAUGUGCAUCUUCUGUUCCGUAAAGGACACACCUCGAAAAGCGUUUUAAAGCGCAGUCUUGCUCAUAAGUGUCCUACAUGCGCAUCACAGCAUUAACCAGAGCAAAAAAAGAUUUCAAACAGGUUUCUCACGUCUGGCAGGUCGAAGAGCUUCUGUCCGAAUUACGUGUCCGAAAUUCAGGUUUCCCUCAGAUAUUGGCUCGAGGAGGAUAUUUGUGAUGAUCUAAGUGAGUGUGAAAUGAACAGAGAGACAGGGCGCGCGCUCGAGAGAGAGAGAGUUGCGCGCGCUGAGGAUGCGUUAGGAUAUUUUUGGUUUGGAAAGCCCUUGGCAACAGUCGGAUAAAUGUCUCAUUUUUGACGUGCUUGGCUGUACCUUGCGUUUUAUUCAUAUUUUGACAACAGAUAGAAGAGUUUUGUGUUGUUUCCAGAGAGAACUAGCGCGCAAUGAUUGUUCAUCAAGAGGAAUAUUGCGCGCAAUGCGCAGCAUGGAGCAGCUCCAGUGGAUCACAAGAAACAUGCGCAGAUAUUUUCCACACAAGGAUGGCAGAAUCACGUGUCCAUAUGAUUUGACGCAAGAGUCUUUGCAAUCGUUUCUGGCUGAUGACGUGAGAUGACGCGGACCAAGACUAAAGAUCUGUCUUCUGUGAUGUCACACGGGCAUUGCCUGUCUGUCAAAUUGGCUACUUCCCUUGGACAAGCAGCCAAGGGAUCAGGACAGAACAAUUGCUGACCAUCUUUAACAAGCCAAAGCACAACAAUUCAACAUCUUCCUGUGUUUUCCCAACCAAUAAGAAGUAGAAGCCACAUUGGUAAGUCUUACAACCCUCCCAGUCUGUUCAGCCAUUAUAUUUCUAGGUUUUUAACAUGCAAAUUAAAAGAUUGUAUAGCUGUUCAUAUGUUGUUAUAUAGGCCUAUAAUAUGUUAUCUCAGGACGUCUGUGGUCCUUAGGUAGACCAUGAUUGUGAUUUCAUCCUGUUAUUGUCUUUAACUGGGUGAACUGACGGUGUUACAACACUCAUCAGUAGCGGUGUCUGUACUUAAACAUGCUUAGAUACAAAAACCGAAUCAACUAAAAUGACAAAAACGCUUACCGGCGCCGUGCAAAAACUGAAGGGAGAAUGCGGCAAAGCUGAUAGCAGCGGAUGGGAUGUUUUGAUAAAACUGAGAAAAAUUACAAUGCAUUAAACUACCCAAGUCUUAUGGCGAACACAAUCCAAUAACAAUCGAGUGAAGGAUUAUUUUCAGACAGGCAUCUGUUAACUGGCCGACGCUGUGUGUUUUCAUCACUGACAGGUGUACACGGCCUAAGAAUCAGCUAACAGAUCUAAUGUGAAAUAUCGCAACAUCGCCUGACAACAGAUUACUGAUUCUGAUAUGAUGCCAGGAACUGAGACAACAUAUGAAGGUACGAUGAAAACAAAAAUGUCAAACGUAGACUCACAGUCAGUCUUGAUGUUCAUGGAUUGCUUUCAGAGAUUUUGUAUACGCGUCGCGUCCGUCAGUCAUUUAGACAGACCUCAGCACAGUGUGCGUUUAAAGUCGUAUUCUAUAAUAUUUAUAGCCUAUAACGAAUUGGCUGUAUUUUUAUAUUAAAUAUAGACAUUUGUAUACUAAUGUCAGAAAUGAAUAAUAAAUAUUAGACAUUAAUUUAAAAAUCCGACCUCAAGUCUAGACAAGCCUGUUGAUUUAAAAGUCUUGCAUGAAAGAUUAUUUUACUAUUUUAUUAUAGGCCUACAUUUGAAAUGGUGAUUACAUUUGUUUGAGUUGUUCUUUUCUUUCUUUUGUUUUGUGUUUUCAUUUAAUGGAACUCAAGAAGGUUUCUUCAAGGUAUGUUUUUUUGUUUUGUUUUGUAGCUUCCUUUAUUACAAAAUGAACAAUAUUUUUUGAGCAACUUCAAUAAUUUACACAUAUAGACAAACAUGCCUUCUUUGACCUAAUCUGAAAUGCAGAUUACCACAUAAAAGAUCUGUAUAUUAAGAGUAAGAGUGGCUGAAAUGUAGGUUUCUUCUUUCUGUAAAGUUCAAGUCCAACAGUUUAUUAAAGGGGUGGUUCAAUGCGAUUUCACUUUUUUAACUUUAGUUAGUGUAUAAAGUUGCUGCUUGAGCAUAAACAACAUCUGCAAAGUUACAGCGCUGAAAGUUCAAUGCAAA
Megalobrama amblycephala (Wuchang bream) is the source of this 4638-nucleotide long non-coding RNA. RefSeq lists it as uncharacterized. The record is from RefSeq and is a predicted model, not a curated record. Lineage: Eukaryota; Metazoa; Chordata; Actinopteri; Cypriniformes; Xenocyprididae. The transcript is spliced from 5 exons.